UACAGAGGGGGCAAGCGUUGUUCGGAAUUACUGGGCGUAAAGGGUGCGUAGGCGGGUCUUUAAGUCAGGGGUGAAAUCCUGGAGCUCAACUCCAGAACUGCCUUUGAUACUGAAGAUCUUGAGUUCGGGAGAGGUGAGUGGAACUGCGAGUGUAGAGGUGAAAUGCGUUGAUAUCCAAUGGAACUCCGGUGGCGAAGGCGAGGUGCUGGACCCUUUCUGACGCUGAGGCGCGAAAGCCAGGGGAGCAAACGGG
Molecule: ribosomal RNA, 253 nt
Filed under: uncultured bacterium
Lineage: Bacteria
Description: partial 16S ribosomal RNA
Rfam family: Bacterial small subunit ribosomal RNA
Source: RNAcentral